Molecule: transfer RNA, 67 nt
Filed under: Marmota monax (woodchuck)
Lineage: Eukaryota; Metazoa; Chordata; Mammalia; Rodentia; Sciuridae
Description: tRNA.Ala
Source: RNAcentral
GGUUGUAGCUCAGUGGUAGAGUGCUUGCCUAGCAUGCAUGAGGCACUGAGUUAGAUCCCUAUAACCA